GCUUAACACAUGCAAGUCGAACGAAGCACUCUAUUUGAUUUUCUUCGGAAAUGAAGAUUUUGUGACUGAGUGGCGGACGGGUGAGUAACGCGUGGGUAACCUGCCUCAUACAGGGGGAUAACAGUUGGAAACGACUGCUAAUACCGCAUAAGCGCACAGGAUCGCAUGAUCUGGUGUGAAAAACUCCGGUGGUAUGAGAUGGACCCGCGUCUGAUUAGCCAGUUGGCAGGGUAACGGCCUACCAAAGCGACGAUCAGUAGCCGACCUGAGAGGGUGACCGGCCACAUUGGGACUGAGACACGGCCCAAACUCCUACGGGAGGCAGCAGUGGGGAAUAUUGCACAAUGGGGGAAACCCUGAUGCAGCGACGCCGCGUGAGCGAAGAAGUAUUUCGGUAUGUAAAGCUCUAUCAGCAGGGAAGAAGAAUGACGGUACCUGACUAAGAAGCACCGGCUAAAUACGUGCCAGCAGCCGCGGUAAUACGUAUGGUGCAAGCGUUAUCCGGAUUUACUGGGUGUAAAGGGAGCGCAGGCGGUGCGGCAAGUCUGAUGUGAAAGCCCGGGGCUCAACCCCGGUACUGCAUUGGAAACUGUCGUACUAGAGUGUCGGAGGGGUAAGUGGAAUUCCUAGUGUAGCGGUGAAAUGCGUAGAUAUUAGGAGGAACACCAGUGGCGAAGGCGGCUUACUGGA
RNAcentral lists this ribosomal RNA (690 nucleotides) under uncultured Lachnospiraceae bacterium. RNAcentral's name for it is "bacterial SSU rRNA". It matches the Rfam family "Bacterial small subunit ribosomal RNA", at positions 46 to 733 of the family's 1533-position model. The record is from RNAcentral. Lineage: Bacteria; Bacillati; Bacillota; Clostridia; Lachnospirales; Lachnospiraceae.